Herpailurus yagouaroundi (jaguarundi) is the source of this 607-nucleotide long non-coding RNA. RefSeq lists it as uncharacterized. The transcript is spliced from 5 exons. NCBI's taxonomy places the organism in Eukaryota, Metazoa, Chordata, Mammalia, Carnivora, Felidae. The record is from RefSeq and is a predicted model, not a curated record.
GUAGGAAAUAAUUUUAGGACAUCGAUAACUUAAAAAUUAUUUUGCUUUGUGCCAUAAUUAGAUAUUUAAUAAGAAUCUGUUACUUUCACACAGUAUGCUGGAUAUUAUCGAGAACAUAGAGAAUCAUCUUGUCUGCUGUUGAACCACUUGGGUCCUGGCUAUGAAGAUAAAACACACACCUAAGUCAGAGAGCACCAAGUGGUCCUCCUUUCUGUCUUUUUAUUCCUGUGGGUCUGUCGUGUUACCCAUCCGUGAGCCUCCACCGCAUCCAUCUGAAGACUGAGCAGAGCCCUUUGGACAUGGUGAUCUGGGGUUGGCAGAGAUAGAAAUGAAUGUACCGUUGACAGUGGUGGCUGUCAGAACCAAUGCUGUAAUACAGCUGGGCGUUAUCACUGCAUGUGUCAAGCUGGCCGGAAGCUGGAGGAAGAUGGCAGAGGAUGUGAAGUGGGAAGAUCUGUAAUUUAUUUCCAACAAACAUCAGGCUAUGGAGACCUCAGGUCCAGUGUGCAGUGAUGGGUGUUCACUUGUGAAUUGGAGCAUUCUUCUUAAGACUUCAAGAAAGAGAGAGUAUGAGCCAGGAGAAGGGCAGAGAGAGAGAGAGAGAGAG